AGGACGAACGCUGGCGGCGUGCUUAACACAUGCAAGUCGAACGAGGUCCAACCUUCGGGUGAAGACCUAGUGGCGAACGGGUGCGUAACACGUGAGGAACUUGUCCCGGUCUCUGGGAUAACAGUUGGAAACGACUGCUAAUACCGGAUGACGUCGGAGCGUCGCAUGGCGCGCUGACGAAAGGGUUACUGGAUCGGGAGAGCCUCGCGGCCUAUCAGCUUGUUGGUGGGUAACGGCCUACCAAGGCAUCGACGGGUAGCUGGUCUGAGAGGAUGAUCAGCCACACUGGGACUGAGACACGGCCCAGACUCCUACGGGAGGCAGCAGUGGGGAAUCUUGCGCAAUGGGCGAAAGCCUGACGCAGCAACGCCGCGUGCGGGAAGAAGGCUCUCGGGUUGUAAACCGCUUUCAGAAGGAACGAAACUGACGGUACUUUCAGAAGAAGGUGCGGCCAACUACGUGCCAGCAGCCGCGGUAA
This 478-nucleotide ribosomal RNA is filed under the name uncultured bacterium. Its description in RNAcentral is "SSU rRNA". It matches the Rfam family "Bacterial small subunit ribosomal RNA", at positions 26 to 523 of the family's 1533-position model. The record is from RNAcentral.